Molecule: ribosomal RNA, 688 nt
Filed under: Lactobacillus amylovorus
Lineage: Bacteria; Bacillati; Bacillota; Bacilli; Lactobacillales; Lactobacillaceae
Description: bacterial SSU rRNA
Rfam family: Bacterial small subunit ribosomal RNA
Source: RNAcentral
GUCGAGCGAGCGGAACAACAGAUUUACUUCGGUAAUGACGUUGGGAAAGCGAGCGGCGGAUGGGUGAGUAACACGUGGGGAACCUGCCCCUAAGUCUGGGAUACCAUUUGGAAACAGGUGCUAAUACCGGAUAAUAAAGCAGAUCGCAUGAUCAGCUUUUGAAAGGCGGCGUAAGCUGUCGCUAAGGGAUGGCCCCGCGGUGCAUUAGCUAGUUGGUAAGGUAACGGCUUACCAAGGCGACGAUGCAUAGCCGAGUUGAGAGACUGAUCGGCCACAUUGGGACUGAGACACGGCCCAAACUCCUACGGGAGGCAGCAGUAGGGAAUCUUCCACAAUGGACGCAAGUCUGAUGGAGCAACGCCGCGUGAGUGAAGAAGGUUUUCGGAUCGUAAAGCUCUGUUGUUGGUGAAGAAGGAUAGAGGUAGUAACUGGCCUUUAUUUGACGGUAAUCAACCAGAAAGUCACGGCUAACUACGUGCCAGCAGCCGCGGUAAUACGUAGGUGGCAAGCGUUGUCCGGAUUUAUUGGGCGUAAAGCGAGCGCAGGCGGAAAAAUAAGUCUAAUGUGAAAGCCCUCGGCUUAACCGAGGAACUGCAUCGGAAACUGUUUUUCUUGAGUGCAGAAGAGGAGAGUGGAACUCCAUGUGUAGCGGUGGAAUGCGUAGAUAUAUGGAAGAACACCAGUGGCG